GACGAACGCUGGCGGCGUGCUUAACACAUGCAAGUCGAACGGAAAGGCCCUGCUUUUGUGGGGUGCUCGAGUGGCGAACGGGUGAGUAACACGUGAGUAACCUGCACUUGACUUUGGGAUAACUUCAGGAAAAUGGGGCUAAUACCGGAUAGGAGCUCCUGCUGCAUGGUGGGGGAUGGAAAGUUUCGGCGGUUGGGGAUGGACUCGCGGCUUAUCAGCUUGUUGGUGGGGUAGUGGAUUACAAAGGGUUUGAAGGGUAGCCGGCCUGAGAGGGUGACCGGCCACACUGGUACUGCGAUACGGCCCAGUCUCCAACGGUCGGCAACAGUCGGAAAUAUUGCACAAUGGGCGGAAGCCUGAUGCAGCAACGCCGCGAGCGUAAUACUGGCCUUCUGGUUGUAAACCGCUUUGUCCGUUGACAAGGCGUGCGUGACGGUAAUUGAUAAAGAAGCCCCGGCUAACUACGUG
Molecule: ribosomal RNA, 468 nt
Filed under: uncultured bacterium
Lineage: Bacteria
Description: partial 16S ribosomal RNA
Rfam family: Bacterial small subunit ribosomal RNA
Source: RNAcentral